GAUGAACGCUGGCGGCGUGCCUAAUACAUGCAAGUCGAGCGAACGGACGAGAAGCUUGCUUCUCUGAUGUUAGCGGCGGACGGGUGAGUAACACGUGGAUAACCUACCUAUAAGACUGGGAUAACUUCGGGAAACCGGAGCUAAUACCGGAUAAUAUUUUGAACCGCAUGGUUCAAAAGUGAAAGACGGUCUUGCUGUCACUUAUAGAUGGAUCCGCGCUGCAUUAGCUAGUUGGUAAGGUAACGGCUUACCAAGGCAACGAUGCGUAGCCGACCUGAGAGGGUGAUCGGCCACACUGGAACUGAGACACGGUCCAGACUCCUACGGGAGGCAGCAGUAGGGAAUCUUCCGCAAAGGGCGAAAGCCUGACGGAGCAACGCCGCGUGAGUGAUGAAGGUCUUCGGAUCGUAAAACUCUGUUAUUAGGGAAGAACAUAUGUGUAAGUAACUGUGCACGUCUUGACGGUACCUAAUCAGAAAGCCACGGCUAACUACGUG
This 497-nucleotide ribosomal RNA is filed under the name uncultured bacterium. RNAcentral's name for it is "partial 16S ribosomal RNA". It matches the Rfam family "Bacterial small subunit ribosomal RNA", at positions 28 to 507 of the family's 1533-position model. The record is from RNAcentral.